CCUCGGGACGCUCCAGUCGCGAAAACUUUACAAUGCGCGAAAGCGUGAUAAGGGGAGCCAGAGUGCUUACUUUUUGUAGGCUUUUGUCAAGUGUAAGUAGCUUGACGAAUAAGUGGUGGGUAAGACCGGUGCCAGCAGCCGCGGUAACCCCGGCGCCACGAGUGGGAAUCAUUAUUAUUGGGCCUAAAGCGUUCGUAGCCGACUGAUUAAAUCUUUUGUGAAAUUGUUGAACUUAAUUUAACAGUGUGCAAAAGAGACUGAUUGGUUUGAGACCAGGAAGAGGCAGAAGUAUUCUAGGGGGAGCGGUAAAAUGUGAUAAUCCUUAGAAGACUACCUAUGGCGAAGGCAUCUGUCUAGCAUGGGUCUGACGGUGAGGAUCGAAGGCUAGGGGAGCGAUCUGGAUUAGAUACCCCCGUAGUC
RNAcentral lists this ribosomal RNA (420 nucleotides) under uncultured archaeon. RNAcentral describes it as "partial 16S ribosomal RNA". It matches the Rfam family "Archaeal small subunit ribosomal RNA", at positions 323 to 746 of the family's 1478-position model. The record is from RNAcentral.